UACAGAGGGUGCAAACGUUGUUCGGAAUUACUGGGCGUAAAGCGAGUGUAGGCGGUCUGGAAAGUCGGAUGUGAAAGCCCCGGGCUCAACCCGGGAAGUGCAUUCGAUACUGCCAGGCUAGAGUGUCGGAGAGGUUGGUGGAAUUCUCGGUGUAGAGGUGAAAUUCGUAGAUAUCGAGAGGAACACCGGUGGCGAAGGCGGCCAACUGGACGAACACUGACGCUGAGACGCGAAAGCGUGGGGAGCAAACAGG
This 253-nucleotide ribosomal RNA is filed under the name uncultured bacterium. Its description in RNAcentral is "partial 16S ribosomal RNA". It matches the Rfam family "Bacterial small subunit ribosomal RNA", at positions 524 to 776 of the family's 1533-position model. The record is from RNAcentral.